Ailuropoda melanoleuca (giant panda) is the source of this 1843-nucleotide long non-coding RNA. RefSeq lists it as uncharacterized. The record is from RefSeq and is a predicted model, not a curated record. NCBI's taxonomy places the organism in Eukaryota, Metazoa, Chordata, Mammalia, Carnivora, Ursidae. The transcript has 4 exons.
GCUCUGCAGUGAAAACAGGGUUUGCGUUUUGUCUCCUGCCUCAUUCCAAAAUGGAUUUGAAGCAGUUAAAUAUGAGCCGAGCUGUGCCAGAGAAGAUGACGAGGAUUUGAAGAUGAGAUACUAAGGUAAGAGCUGUACCUAUGACAGUGCACUGAAUGGUCCCAAUAAACCCGUCACAGCCAGUUUUCAAGCGGGGAGACUGAGGCACAGAGAAGAGGCAAUCACAGUUUUGAUCUUCGUGACCAGCUCACUCAGAUGUGCAGAUGGCAGCACAGUAUUCCAGCCAAGAGAACAAGGUCAGCAGAAGAUGAAUGAUGCAGGGGUUUGUGUGCGAUCAUAAGCCCAUAGCCAGCUAUUCCGUAAGCCUGGGCUUCGGUCUCUCCGGGAAUGCUGUGUGAGCAUUUUCCACGGAGAGGGGGUGGCAUCCGCCUAGCUGGAGGACUGGCAGCACACGGAAUCUUCCUGCAGUAGAUUCUUAAACAUGGAAGCCUGGCCAAAGGGAGGCCAGACAAGAAGGGGUGGGAGAAUUGCUUGAGUGAAAGAUGUGGGCACGAAGGACAAUGGGAUGCCUGGGCAGGGGACCCCCAACUGCCUAGCUGGGGGAAAGUGAUCAGAGAAACUUUCACAGAGAGGGGAUAUUUGAGCUGGAUCUUGAAGGACGAAUAGGAGUGUGCCAGGUGGAGGAAGGGGGGAAGGUAUAUAGACAAGAGAGACCAACAGCCCUGUGAAAGUUCCGAGACCUGGGAGAAUACAGCCACUCCUAUGCUUUGUGGCUAGUUGUGGCAAGAGCUCAGGGAGAGAGGGGCAUGGAGUGAAGGAGACAAGGCUGGAAGUGUGGGCUGGAGUCAGGUCAUUAAGGGUCUGUAGCUCUACAACCCUUCUGGACAGCUUGGUGCAGUGGAAAGAUUUCUGGCUGUGCAGCAGGAGGAAAAAAACCUGGGGGUUUGGAGUGUGUCAAAGCUGGUUUUGAAUCCAAGUUCCAUUACUUACUGGCCACGUGACCGAGAUCAAAUUACCUUACCUCUGAGUCCCAGCAUCCACGUUUGGAAGAUGGGGACGCAAUGCCCACCUCCUAGGGGUGUCGUUAGGAUGAAACAAGGUGAAGGGUAGACUCCUGACACAGAGCACACCGCAGUCUCUCGGUGAAUGUUAGUUCCCACUUUCCUAGACAGGUGAGGGGGUGUUGUUUCCAGCCAGAAAACACAGGGGGUAGAGUUUCAACCAGAUCUCUAUUUUAGAAUGGUGACUCCAAUGGAUUGUUCUAGGGGGAACGGAAGGCAGAGAGAAGACUCAGCUCUGAACAUGGAGUUUUAACAGCUUCUGUUUCAGGGGUUUACAGCCUCAUUAUCAGGCACCAGAUUCUGGGGCUAUAGCCUGUGGUUCCAGUAUCUGAAUCUCUCUUUAAGAAGACUGGAUAAUGGACUGGCUUAGCUGCCUCAAUGUCCCCAACGUGGUGAGACCAGUUUGAAGGGCCACAAUUUAAGCAAGCACAACUUUAUUUUGCCACAGACCAGCUGUCCCACUUCUAUUCUUCAUUUCAUUUAUUCAUUCAUUCGUCUGGCAAAUAUUUAUUGAGUGGCCCCACCAGUAAGUGGGCUGCAUGGGUAUUGGGGAUACAAUGUCUCCUCUCCCAUCUGUGUGGUUAUAUAUAAUCAGAACUCGAGAAAAACAGCGCUCCCAUCCCCUCCCAAUGCCCACAUGUUGCCGGGGCUUCCCGACAGUCAGUUUGAUGCAUCCCUGCCCUUCGUGGAAGGUAAUUAGCUGGUCAGAGAACAUGGUCCAGUGAAGACAGUCCCACUGGAAAAUCACCAUGCUGUGCCACACUUUCUCAAGCUUCGUUUUC